UCYGGUUGAUCCUGCCRGACCCGACUGCUAUCAGAGUGAGACUAAGCCAUGCGAGUCAACGUAUGAAUAAUACGUGGCGAGCGGCUCAGUAACACGUAGUCAACAUGCCCAAAGGACGUGGAUAACCUCGGGAAACUGAGGAUAAACCGCGAUAGGUCAUAAGUACUGGAAUGUUUUAUGGCUCAAAUCUACAUGGCCUCUGGAUUGGACUGCGGCCGAUCAGGCUGUUGGUGAGGUAAUGGCCCACCAAACCUGUUACCGGUACGGGCUCUGAGAGGAGGAGCCCGGAGAUGGGCACUGAGACAAGGGCCCAGGCCCUAUGGGGCGCAGCAGGCGCGAAACCUCUGCAAUAGGCGAAAGCUUGACAGGGUUACUCUGAGUGAUUCCCGCUAAGGGAAUCUUUUGGCAUCUCUAAAAACGAUGCAGAAUAAGGGGUGGGCAAGUCUGGUGUCAGCCGCCGCGGUAAUACCAGCACCCCGAGUGGUCGGGACGAUUAUUGGGCCUAAAGCAUCCGUAGCCGGUCUUGCAAGUCUUCCGUUAAAUCCACCUGCUUAACAGAUGGGCUGCGGAAGAUACUACAAGACUAGGAGGCGGGAGAGGCAAGCGGUACUCAGUGGGUAGGGGUAAAAUCCUCUGAUCCAUUGAAGACCACCAGUGGCGAAGGCGGCUUGCCAGAACGCGCUCGACGGUGAGGGAUGAAAGCUGGGGGAGCAAACCGGAUUAGAUACCCGGGUAGUCCCAGCUGUAAACGAUGCAGACUCGGUGAUGGGCCGGCUUCAUGCCGGCUCAGUGCCGCAGGGAAGCCGUUAAGUCUGCCGCCUGGGGAGUACGGUCGCAAGACUGAAACUUAAAGGAAUUGGCGGGGGAGCACCACAAGGGGUGAAGCCUGCGGUUCAAUUGGABUCAACGCCGGR
RNAcentral lists this ribosomal RNA (914 nucleotides) under uncultured archaeon. Its description in RNAcentral is "bacterial SSU rRNA". It matches the Rfam family "Archaeal small subunit ribosomal RNA", at positions 1 to 922 of the family's 1478-position model. The record is from RNAcentral.